AUACUUACCUGGCAGAGGAGCCGCUAUGAUCAGGAAGGUGGUUUCCCCAGGGCAAGGCUCAUCCAUUGCACUGUGGGUGUGCUGACCCCUGAGAUUUCCCCAAAUGCAAGAAACUCGACUGCAUAAUUUGUGGUAGUGGGGGACUGCGUUCACACUCUCCUCCG
Echinops telfairi (small Madagascar hedgehog) is the source of this 164-nucleotide small nuclear RNA. Its record names the gene U1. It matches the Rfam family "U1 spliceosomal RNA". Rfam says of the family: U1 is a small nuclear RNA (snRNA) component of the spliceosome (involved in pre-mRNA splicing). Its 5' end forms complementary base pairs with the 5' splice junction, thus defining the 5' donor site of an intron. NCBI's taxonomy places the organism in Eukaryota, Metazoa, Chordata, Mammalia, Afrosoricida, Tenrecidae. The record is from Ensembl.